CAAAACAUUUGAUUCAUCCUAGUAUAGGUGAUAGAAAAGAUAGUAGGCGCAAUAACGAAAGUACCGUAAGGGAAACAUGAAAGACUUACUUUAAAGCACUCAAAAAGCAAAGAUUUACUCUUGUACCUUUUGCAUAAUGAUUUAGUCAGUUAAACUGGGCAAAAAGAAUUAAGCCCACCUCCCCGAAAUCAAGUGAGCUACUAUAAAACAGUCACAAGGACUAACUCAUCUAUGUAGCAAAAUAGUGGGAAGAUUUUAUAGUAGAGGUGAAAAGCCAAACGAACUUGAAGAUAGCUGGUUAUCCAAAACACGAAUUUUAGUUCAACUUUAAAUUUAAUUCAAACAUCUAUAAGACCAACUUAAAUUUAAAAGUUAAUCAAAAGGGGGACAUCCCUUUUGAUCAUGUAGACAAACUUAUCUAGAGGAUACUGAUCAAUACAAACCCAUUGUAGGCCUAAAAGCAGCCACCAAUUAAGAAAGCGUUAAAGCUCAAAUAUUCCCCAAUCCUUAAUUCCAACAAUCAUAACAUAAUCCCUACCCCCAUAUUGGAUAACUCUAUAACCUUAUAGAAGAUAUUCUGCUAAAAUUAGUAACAAGAAAUACUUCUCAUCGCAUAAGCCUAUGUUAGUUCGGAUAAACCACUAAUCAUUAACAAAAUCUUACUAAUACCUACAUCACAAGCAAACUAACUUAACUAACUGUUAACCCAACACAGGCAUGCAUCCAAGGAAAGAUUAAAAAGAAUAAAAGGAACUCGGCAAACAUAAACCCCGCCUGUUUACCAAAAACAUCACCUCUAGAAUGUAAAAUAUUAGAGGCAACGCCUGCCCAGUGAGUUUAUCUUCAACGGCCGCGGUAUCCUGACCGUGCAAAGGUAGCAUAAUCACUUGUCUCUUAAAUAGAGACUUGUAUGAAUGGCAUCACGAGGGUUUAACUGUCUCUUAUCCUCAAUCAGUGAAAUUGACCUCCCCGUGCAGAGGCGGGGAUUCUAAUACAAGACGAGAAGACCCUGUGGAGCUUAAGAUUUACAGCCUAUUAACAUCUAACAUAAACCCAAAGGAAUAACAUCUACAACCCCCUUAGGCUGCCAACUUUGGUUGGGGUGACCUCGGAGUAUAAAAAAUCCUCCGAAUGACAUAACCCAGAUUUACUAAUCUAAGUGUACAAAACCAUCAAUUGACCCAUUUCUUGAUCAACGGACCAAGUUACCCCAGGGAUAACAGCGCAAUCCUAUUAAAGAGCCCCUAUCGACAAUUAGGGUUUACGACCUCGAUGUUGGAUCAGGAUAUCCAAAUGGUGUAACCGCUAUUAAUGGUUCGUUUGUUCAACGAUUAAAAUCCUACGUGAUCUGAGUUCAGACCGGAGAAAUCCAGGUCGGUUUCUAUCUAUAUAUUAAUUUCUCCUAGUACGAAAGGACAAGAGAAAUAAGGCCCAUGUCACAUACAAGCCUUAACUUAAGAUAUGAAACAAUCUAAAUAUCUUAACACCAUACUUUCACGCUCUAGAAAAGAGCUA
Molecule: ribosomal RNA, 1515 nt
Filed under: Pseudochirulus forbesi (Painted ringtail)
Lineage: Eukaryota; Metazoa; Chordata; Mammalia; Diprotodontia; Pseudocheiridae
Description: 16S ribosomal RNA
Rfam family: Bacterial large subunit ribosomal RNA
Source: RNAcentral